AGAGUUUGAUCAUGGCUCAGAUUGAACGCUGGCGGAAUGCUUUACACAUGCAAGUCGAACGGCAGCACGGGGCAACCUGGUGGCGAGUGGCGAACGGGUGAGUAAUACAUCGGAACGUGCCCAAUCGUGGGGGAUAACGUAGCGAAAGUUACGCUAAUACCGCAUACGAUCUACGGAUGAAAGCGGGGGAUCGCAAGACCUCGCGCGAAUGGAGCGGCCGAUGUCAGAUUAGGUAGUUGGUGGGGUAAAGGCUCACCAAGCCAACGAUCUGUAGCUGGUCUGAGAGGACGACCAGCCACACUGGAACUGAGACACGGUCCAGACUCCUACGGGAGGCAGCAGUGGGGAAUUUUGGACAAUGGGCGCAAGCCUGAUCCAGCCAUUCCGCGUGCAGGAUGAAGGCCUUCGGGUUGUAAACUGCUUUGUACGGAACGAAACGGUCUGCCCUAAUACGGCGGGCUAAUGACGGUACCGUAAGAAUAAGCACCGGCUAACUACGUG
RNAcentral lists this ribosomal RNA (501 nucleotides) under uncultured bacterium. Its description in RNAcentral is "bacterial SSU rRNA". It matches the Rfam family "Bacterial small subunit ribosomal RNA", at positions 8 to 507 of the family's 1533-position model. The record is from RNAcentral.